UCCCUCCCUCUUGACCUUCCUCUCUCCCUCCCUUCUUUCCUUCCUUCCUGUGGCUCUCCUUUGUGAGUGACCUACCUCCGCUUCCUACUCUGUGACUUUGCACAUUCAAUCAUUGCCUGGCUCCACCAGCAGUAUAUAAGGUGAAAGAGGAUCCUGCCAGCUGUUCUAGGCCCAGAGGACACCUCUCUCUCUCUCUCUGUCACUCACACACACACACACACACACACACACUCUCUCUCUCUCUCUCACACACACCCACUUAUUGAUGGGGUAAUAGGAUCAAGAGGUAGCUUUGCAUCAUCAAAAAGAAGUCAGUCAUUCUAGCCUGGAGCUUUAGAAGACGAAGUAAAAAAGAAGUCAGACAGUCCUAGCUUUGAAUCCUGGCCCAGCCACUUACUAGGUGGGAGACCUUGGGACAAUCGUAUCCCUUCUGGGGGAAUUUCCCCACCUCCAUGUUGAAGCCAAGGAUGACUAGUACUCCAUGGAAAAGAGGUCAACAUGAUAACCAGGAGAUGUGGUCAUGGGGCAUUAAAAGGUUCGAAGCUGUUCCAGAAAGGAUGUCAUUGAUGUGGAAUACAGGAACUGUGGAUGCCUCCUGAAUGGGAGCUGCAAACGAUUAUCAGAGUCAAGCAAGAGGAAUGGCAAGGCAUGUGCUGAAUAACAUCACAUUAAUAUGGCUCUUAGCUACCUAACCCAUUAGGAGCCAUAAUUAGGAGAGUUUGAAACAGACUGCAAGCAUCUUCUCCAGAAAGAAGCUAGGAGCGAGUCCAGCGGAUUCGUGGAAAUGGAUGGAGGCUGCUGAGUUGAGAGACUG
RNAcentral lists this long non-coding RNA (814 nucleotides) under Homo sapiens (human). Its description in RNAcentral is "HSALNT0293830". The record is from RNAcentral. Lineage: Eukaryota; Metazoa; Chordata; Mammalia; Primates; Hominidae.